CACUCACUGAACCUCGGAGCUCAGAAGCUGUACAACUGUAAUACGAUUUCCAACUGGGUGGCAAGGAUUCGUUCUGUGGUUGUAUGGAUGAAGAGAUCCCACAUGGCCAAAGUAAUCCUCAAGGAGAAGCAAGAACUCCUCAAGCUGCCAAAGCACAUGCUCCUCUUGGAUGUGAAGAUGAGAUGGAACUCUCUGUUUUUGAUGAUGGAAAGAUUCUGUGAGCAGUUUUGUGCCAUCCAAGCUGCAGCUAUAGAACCACGGCUUAGAAAGCCCAUGGAAAAGGAGAAACUGGCCAAAAUGGGCAACGAGGACUUGAGGAAAGCAGAGGAGUUUGUGCUGCUGAU
Long non-coding RNA from Clupea harengus (Atlantic herring), 344 nucleotides. The record is from Ensembl. NCBI's taxonomy places the organism in Eukaryota, Metazoa, Chordata, Actinopteri, Clupeiformes, Clupeidae.